GUGGUGCUGCUGGCUGGGACCCAGCUGCAGGGUGGCGGGGCGCGCUGCAUGACCCGGCCACCGCCGUCCCCACUCCUAGGCACACAGGUCGAGGAGGACCGCGCUGACUACAAAGAGUUCCAGGACUUCUCCAGUCUGCCUGACACCCGCAGCAUCGCCUGGGACGACUCUUUCUACCCUUUCCAGGAGGAGGAGGAGGAGCACGGCCUCGAGGGUGUGGAGAGCGUCCUGGAGGAGGGCGUCCUGGAGGAGGGCGUCCUGGAGGCGUGGGGCUGCUGCAGACGUUGGUGCGGCGGGGGGUGGGCGCUGAGAAGGCGCAGGAGACUGACCACAAUGGCUAGACCGGCCUUGAUGUCGCCUGCUACCACGGCUUUGUGGAUAUACCGUGGUGGCCUUAGCUGAGUGCCCCCACAUUGAAGUCAACUGGCAGGACAGGGAGGGGAACGCAACCCUAAUCAUAGCUGCACAGGCAGGAGCUGCCCCUGGCCCCAUGGGCACAGUUGCCUUAGACACUGGCUCUCAGCCUUGCACUUCCUGCGUCAGCAUCACCUGGGCUGGUUCAUUUGAGUUUUCACACAGAUCUGGUGGAAACACAGGCUGCCAAGCGCUGCCCCUGGAGUCUUUCUUUGAAUAGGCCUGGGGUGGGGCCCAAGAAUGAGCAGAAGAACAGGUUUCCUGGUGAGGCUGAUGCUGCUGGCCCAGGGAUCCCACGUUGAGGACGGAGGGCUUUGAGGUUUUCCUGCCUGAUGAUGGCCAGGAAGCCUUCUCAGUAGGCAUGGAAGACCAGCAGAGUCCCAGACCCCAGGAGAGAUGUCGUCAGAGGGACACAGAGGCAUCAUGGAAUUAAAGUGAAAAUGAAGAAAGGAGCUGAGCAUCUGUUUAAAGACUUUCCUGCGCUGUUUGGCUAAAGAGGCUGUUCUGGCCGAGUCAGGGCACUCUAUCAUCACCAACUACUUGUUGAACUAUGGAAUGGGUCUUGAUCUUGAAGGAUGGACGCGUUCGGGUUGAAAGCAGCCAUGCAGGGUGGAACCGAUCGCAUCCGAGCCCUGAGCUCGCAGGGGCGGGUGUACACUCGAGGGCCCCUGCCGUGGGAUGUCGCCAGAGGAGUGGCCACUUACACGUCCGCCUCAUGCAGAGGCUCCUGGAGCGCCCCUGCCAGCAGCGGUUGGGGAAAAAGUACCAGCUUAGCUGCCUCCGCUCCACCAGAGGGCGGGGAAGCCCGAGGGCUGGAAGAACUGGCUGCAGAUGGUCAGGGACUGCAAGCCUUCCGCGCUGACGCCGCGCUCCGUGUGUGGCCUGGAGGACCGGGGCGCCCUGGACCACAUGGUCAGGAUGACCACCAGCCUCUAACAGCCCCGCUGUGGCCCUCGCGUGCCAGACCGUGUGCCCCCAGAGCUCCCUGUGCCUGGGGAAGAGGCGGCUGGCGGUGCAGGAAAUCCUGGGGGCUCAGGAAAUUCUAGCGACGCGGCGUGGGGUGGGGAGGCAGGCGCAGGAGGCGGGCGAAGUGGAGGGCGCA
RNAcentral lists this long non-coding RNA (1516 nucleotides) under Homo sapiens (human). Its description in RNAcentral is "non-protein coding lnc-OR4C12-6:1". The record is from RNAcentral. Lineage: Eukaryota; Metazoa; Chordata; Mammalia; Primates; Hominidae.